CCCGGCGAGUCAUCGCCGGAAAUCCAUCUCUCUCUCCCUCGCAUACAUCGGUAACCACCCAAACACUCACCUCUCAAUCUCUCUCGAAUCUCCUCCGGCGAAGAACCGUCGGUCAGUCACCUCCCUCAACGUUUCACUACAGCGCCGUUGUUCCUGCUGCUCCGGCGACUCACGACGAGGCCACCGCCGAUUGCUGCUGUUUGUGGAAGCGCCGCCGACUGCUGCUGUUCGUGGAGUCCGCCGCCGACUGCUGCUGUUCUGAAGUUGGCCGCCGACUGCUGCUGUUCUGGUAUCGCGGGCUGCUGUUGCAGAGCUCCGACAGCCACCACCGUCGUCGGCUGCCGCUGCCUCGCCCAAGGCCGACUUCUGCUACCAAGCACCGAACGCCGCUGCUGUAGGGAGGCCGGCGAACAGUCGGGUGUUCGCCGUUUCCAGUUCUUCUCCGAGUUCCGAAGCCGGUGAGAGCUCCAUCAUCGCGUCGUCUCGUUCGUCUCUCGGCCCAACUGAACAGGUCGUGGAGCAACAAGGCGAGCUUCUCGCCUGAACCCACCGCCAAGCACCGAGUCGCUGCUGCUCGUCGUCUCUCGAUCAGCCUGAACAGGCCGCGUCCCUUCUUCCUAAAGCUAAGUUAUAUCCUUGACUCGUCUUCUUCCUACCAUGUAUGAGUAUCGAUAAGCUUAAGCUUCUAUGAGUAAGAAAGAAUCAGGGUUUAACACUCUGUCAGUGAGCAUGCUAUCGCUAUCCUUGUUCGUUCAUUCAUGUGCUAUGUGUGAGGUCCUCAUGGUUUGUGUUCUAGAGUGCAGUGGCAGUAUACACAUAAGUCUUUCUAUUGCUAUACAUAACAUGGACUGUUUGAUGUAGUGGUAAAACAUGAUUAUGCUCGUUGGUAUGAAUGCGAACUCGAUUGGAUAACUGAGGUAGUAUAAAUACCUUGAAUGAUGCUUGCUUUGGUGUUUGUUGGCUGUUGUGGUUGGAUUAAAUGAAGCAGCAGAUCGAACUGAAAUAAUAAAGUUGUUCUUGCAUUAAUGCAGGUGGAAUAAGGGAAGAAGGUGGAGCAUUGAAGACAAGCUUACCUUGAGAAUACUUGGUAGGAUGAAUUAAAGGCUCACUUCUCCUUGUGCAGUCCUCAAAUGAAGAAUGAAGAGAAUGCAACAAUGUUGGCUGUUUUGAAUGACGAGGUGGUUUGGCUGGGAGCUUGUAUACAUGGGAGGAGGUACAUUCUAGGGUGGCUGAUUGACAUAUUUAGGUGUACUUGGGUAUGGCAGCCUGCUGCAUAGGCGUGGGAAAAGAAAG
This 1293-nucleotide long non-coding RNA is filed under the name Salvia miltiorrhiza (redroot sage). Its description in RNAcentral is "long non-coding RNA (SMIL_LNC007000)". Lineage: Eukaryota; Viridiplantae; Streptophyta; Magnoliopsida; Lamiales; Lamiaceae. The record is from RNAcentral.